Molecule: ribosomal RNA, 497 nt
Filed under: uncultured bacterium
Lineage: Bacteria
Description: partial 16S ribosomal RNA
Rfam family: Bacterial small subunit ribosomal RNA
Source: RNAcentral
GAUGAACGCUGGCGGCGUGCCUAAUACAUGCAAGUCGAGCGAACAGACGAGGAGCUUGCUCCUCUGACGUUAGCGGCGGACGGGUGAGUAACACGUGGAUAACCUACCUAUAAGACUGGGAUAAUUUCGGGAAACCGGAGCUAAUACCGGAUAAUAUAUUGAACCGCAUGGUGCAAUAGUGAAAGACGGCUUUGCUGUCACUUAUAGAUGGAUCCGCGUCGCAUUAGCUAGUUGGUAAGGUAACGGCUUACCAAGGCAACGAUGCGUAGCCGAACUGAGAGGAUGAUCGGCCACACUGGAACUGAGACACGGUCCAGACUCCUACGGGAGGCAGCAGUAGGGAAUCUUCCGCAAUGGGCGAAAGCUUGACGGAGCCAUACCGCGUGAGUGAAGAAGGUCUUCGGAUCGUAAAACUCUGUUGUUAGGGAAGAACAAAUGCAGAAUAAACUAUGCACGUCUUGACGGUACCUAAACAAAAAGCCACGGCUAACUACGUG